AUUCAGCUGACGAGUCCCAAAUAGGACGAAACGCGCUUCAAACUAGAU
Molecule: non-coding RNA, 48 nt
Filed under: Schistosoma margrebowiei
Lineage: Eukaryota; Metazoa; Platyhelminthes; Trematoda; Strigeidida; Schistosomatidae
Source: RNAcentral